This 643-nucleotide unclassified non-coding RNA is filed under the name Hevea brasiliensis (rubber tree). The record is from RNAcentral. Lineage: Eukaryota; Viridiplantae; Streptophyta; Magnoliopsida; Malpighiales; Euphorbiaceae.
UGUUUGUUUCGGGUUUGAAUUGGCGUUGAGAUUUGCAGAAUUGGGGAUUUUGGUUUGACCGAUUUGUUUUUUCAAUUCGAUAAUUAGGGUUUUGGUUUUGGAAUUGGAAUGGGUGAGGAUUUUCUAACGUACAGCUUCGGGUGCAACGGGUACAACUACUCGUAGAGGAAUUUUGAUGAAGACAAGGAUGAUGGUGAAACGGACGGUGAAAGUGGAAAUGCCGAAACUCAAGCGGUGCAAAGCGGAGGGUAAUGACAGCGGCGGCGAGGGAGAAUCGUGUUCGGCGAGUCCGAAGAAAUUGAAAACUGAUGAGCUCUUCACAGUGCCUAUAAGGGAAUUAGAAGAUUACCGCACUAGUUUGGUGGAUUCAUUUUGUAGAGAAGCUCUGAGUUACGCGGGUGAAGUAGAAUCAAGCUUGGUUUUAGCUGGAGCUUCGAGAAGUUUGGAUAAAGCUUUGGAGGUUAGUAAUAAUAAGCCUCCACUUUUGAAGUCUUCUCGUGGUCGCAUUCAAGUGCUGCCUUCAAAGUUCAAUGACUCUGUUUUGCCUUCGUGGAGGAAAGAAGAAAAUCAGGAAGAACAAGAACUACUAUGUUUGAAUGAGAAGGACGAAGAGGCUGUUUUGCCUCGGAAGAAAAGGUUCAAG